RNAcentral lists this long non-coding RNA (258 nucleotides) under Hordeum vulgare. RNAcentral's name for it is "long non-coding RNA (HVUL_LNC011131)". Lineage: Eukaryota; Viridiplantae; Streptophyta; Magnoliopsida; Poales; Poaceae. The record is from RNAcentral.
UAGCCUACACCACAGCCACAACGCGAGUCUCGUCAGUACCAAAAUAUGGAGAAGCUGCAACCAGCAACUGCAAGCGAGGGCAGUUUUCAAAUUAGCGGCAACCCGGUGGAUCAGUUUGGUUGCAAACGCUGCUGGUCACGUUCAGCAAGCAGCGGGGCAAUCACAAGCCGCGUGAGCUAACUAACCUACGAUCGGGCCUAUGUUCGUUAUGCGUGUGUACAUGCAUGCACACGUUUGGGUCGUGAUCUUGUGGUCAAG